AUUGAACGCUGGCGGCAGGCCUAACACAUGCAAGUCGAACGAGUGGCGGACGGGUGAGUAAUGUCUGGGAAACUGCCUGAUGGAGGGGGAUAACUACUGGAAACGGUAGCUAAUACCGCAUACCAUCGGAUGUGCCCAGAUGGGCUUAGCUAGUAGGUGGGGUAAUGGCUCACCUAGGAGACGAUCCCUAGCUGGUCUGCGAGGAUGACCGGCCACACUGGAACUGAGACACGGUCAAGACUCCUACGGGAGGCAGCAGUGGGGAAUAUGGCACAAUGGGCGCAAGCCUGAUGCAGCCAUGCCGCGUGUGGGAAGAAGGCCUUCGGGUUGUAAAGUACUUUCAGCGGGGAGGCGUUACCCGCAGAAGAAGCACCGGCUAACUCCGUGCCAGCAGCCGCGGUAAUUC
This 406-nucleotide ribosomal RNA is filed under the name uncultured bacterium. RNAcentral describes it as "partial 16S ribosomal RNA". It matches the Rfam family "Bacterial small subunit ribosomal RNA", at positions 30 to 526 of the family's 1533-position model. The record is from RNAcentral.